UACGUAGGGUGCGAGCGUUAAUCGGAAUUACUGGGCGUAAAGCGUGCGCAGGCGGUGAUGUAAGACAGAUGUGAAAUCCCCGGGCUUAACCUGGGAACUGCAUUUGUGACUGCAUCGCUGGAGUGCGGCAGAGGGGGAUGGAAUUCCGCGUGUAGCAGUGAAAUGCGUAGAGAUGUGGAGGAAUACCGAUGGCGAAGGCAGCCCCCUGGGCCAAUACUGACGCUCAUGCACGAAAGCGUGGGGAGCAAACAGG
Molecule: ribosomal RNA, 253 nt
Filed under: uncultured bacterium
Lineage: Bacteria
Description: partial 16S ribosomal RNA
Rfam family: Bacterial small subunit ribosomal RNA
Source: RNAcentral